This 699-nucleotide ribosomal RNA is filed under the name uncultured bacterium. RNAcentral's name for it is "bacterial SSU rRNA". It matches the Rfam family "Bacterial small subunit ribosomal RNA", at positions 8 to 703 of the family's 1533-position model. The record is from RNAcentral.
AGAGUUUGAUCAUGGCUCAGGAUGAACGCUAGCGGCAGGCUUAAUACAUGCAAGUCGAGGGGCAUCAGGAAUAGCAAUAUUUGCUGGCGACCGGCGCACGGGUGCGUAACACGUAUACAAUCUGCCUUUAACAGGGGGAUAGCCCGGAGAAAUCCGGAUUAAUACCCCAUAACAAUAGAACAAGCAUUUGUUUUAUUUAAAAGCUCCGGCGGUUAAAGAUGAGUAUGCGUCUGAUUAGCUAGUUGGUGAGGUAACGGCUCACCAAGGCGACGAACAGUAGGGGAUCUGAGAGGAUUAACCCCCACACGGAUACUGAGACACGGAUCCGACUCCUACGGGAGGCAGCAGUAAGGAAUAUUGGACAAUGCCCGCAAGGGUGAUCCAGCCAUGCCGCGUGCAGGAAGACGGCCCUAUGGGUUGCAAACUGCUUUUGUACCGGAGAAAACCUCCCCUCGUGAGGGGAGCUGAUAGUAUGGUAAGAAUAAGCAUCGGCUAACUUCGUGCCAGCAGCCGCGGUAAGACGAAGGAUGCAAGCGUUAUCCGGAUUCAUUGGGUUUAAAGGGAGCGUAGGUGGGUUUGUAAGUCAGUGGUGAAAGCCGGUCGCUUAACGAUCGAAUUGCCAUUGAUACUGCAGACCUUGAGUACAGAUGCUGUGGACGGAAUAUGACAUGUAGUGGUGAAAUACAUAGAGAUGUCAUA